GAAUUUAAGAACUUUUGAUAAUACUCCUAUGGGAAAAAGGGAGAAGCUGAUGGAGGCAUUUGCACACUAAAUCCAUUUUAUUACUCCUAGUCACAUCCAAAUCACAGAAUAGGAGAGGCCAGUGAUUCUCUGCAAGCAUCGAGGAGGCCAGUGUUUCAGGAUCCUUUUUACCCAGAUUAUUUCCUGUCUGAAAGGAAGCAGUGAUGAGCUGUAUGGAUUUGAGUUAUUGAAACUUCCUCUUCUUGCAGAAAUUCGACAGGGAAGAAAAGCAAGUCACCAGGGACUGUAUCCUUGAUUAGUGGCUGCGAUCCUGCAACACACUUCAUCCUGCCCAAUCCCCAUCGAUGUUGGCAUUUUCCUACUCAAUUGAUGUCCUCAUAUUUUCCCUGCUCCAUCUACACACCAUAUAUUUCCUCAGGUGCUACAAACAAGUUCCAAACUUUAUUGGACAGGGGAAGAAGUAGAAGAAACAAGAAGUAUUAUUAAAAUGAAUGGAGUUAAAAUGGGACAGAGGUGAGAAGAAGGAGCUAGAAAACUUUAAAUAAAAUGCACCUACAGCUAAGGAAAUAGACAAGCCUUUCUGAUGGCUCUCAUGGCUCUGCGUUUACAUACUACAGAUUCCUCCUGGAUGAAACAGAAGCCGGGCUGCUGAUGCAGCUGGAGGAGGAAGCGAGAGGUUCCAACGGCAUGACUCCUUGGCAUUUCACACAUCCAUAGAAAUAACCCAUCUAUGAUUUCCACAAGACAAUUUUUUCUUAGUCCCCACUUUUCAGUGUAUGCUCAAACACAAUGCAGAAUCCCAAGAAACUGUGAAACUUUUCUGAGAAAAUGUUCUGAUUUGAAUUAGUUAGCUGUAUUCUGCAUUCAGCACAUUUACAAGCUUUGAAAUAUCGGACAUUGGCAAGCAAGCACUAACAUUUUAUAAGUAGCAGUUUGCAUCCAGGUUUGAGGUAAUGUAAUCCAACAUGCACGAGAACACAGUCUAGGUCCCCUUCUCCCUUCUAAGCAUAGCAGAAGGAUUAGGAAUAAUGAAUGGUGUGAAUUUUGCCACCUAGAGGGUUUCAUUUUGAUACCUGUUACACAGUCCUCUUGAGCACUGUGCUCAUUUUUCCUAUUGCUGAGAUAUGGAAAAUAAAACAGUAAUAGGAACGUGCACUGACAACACACCAUGUCAAUGCCCUAAAACGCAAAGUCUUGGAGAGGGUUCCAUAAUGGCUUCAGUAGAAGCAUAGCUCAUUCCCUGCUUUGCUAAUCAAUUUUCUGCAUGCCAUGUUCUCCCCGUUAUACCUCAUCCCUUAGGCUACUCUUGUAGCCCAAGUCAACCACACAGGUGAUAUACACCGGUGGAAUAGGUCAGGGCAAUUUCUUGAGGCACUGGAGGGGGAAAACCUGGGGUCUCUCCUCAGCCCUCCAAUGUGUCCAUAAUGCUCCUCAUGUGCCACAGGCUCCGUGCCACCAUGGAAUUUGAUCUGGAAGUCUAGAGCCCUUUUCAGGGAGUUGUUUAAGCCUUUAGUCCUUGUUUCUUCACUCUUAGUGUAAUUCUGUGUCAUUUUAGAGCCAGAAACACUGUUGUAACAGUCAAAUGUAGUAAUUAAGACUGUAGUAUCAGAUCACUGGCUUUUCAAUCUUUUUCUAAAAGGCUCUAUGAUCUCAGGCAAAUUUACUGAACUCUUCUUGCUGUAAUAUGGGGAGACAGUGGCCCUCACUUCAUAGAUUGUAGUGAGAUUAAAUAAGUUAAUAUAUGUAAAGCUUUAAUAAAGUACUUAGCAAAUAGUAUAUACAGUACUAUGCAAGUUUUAGCUAUAAAAUGACAAUAACAUUUCACAUAAAAAGGUUACUAUUAAUUGUUACUACCAUUUCCUAAUUAUUGAUUUAUGUAAUAAGCUAUGCCCCAAACCUACCAGGUUUAACUCUUGGUAUUCAGUGUGAACUGAAUUAUAUUCCCCUCAAAUUCAUUUAUUGAAACACUAAUGUGCUGGCAUUAGAAGGCAAGGCAUUUGGGAGGUAAUUAGGUCAUGAAGGUAGAAUCCUCAUGAUGGGAUUAAUGCCCUUAUUAGAACAGACUGAAGAGAAAUUUUACUCUGCCAUGAGAGACACAUAAAAAAAAAAAAAAAAGAUGAAGUCUACAAGCCAGGAAGCAAGCUCCCACCAAGAACUGAAUCAGCCAGCACCUUGUUCUUGAAUUUCCCAGCCUCCAGAACUGUGAGAAAUAAAUAUUAGUAGUUCAAGUCACCCAGACGGUGAUAUUUUUUGAUAUUUUGUGACAGCAGCCCAUACAAACCAAGGCUAUCUUCAAGCAAACAAUUUAGAAGUUCACAAUUUUUUUUCUGUCAAAUAUGUGGUGUUCGCAAAUUGAAAGCAUCUUGGAUUUCAGGUUAGUAUCCCUAGUACAUAUUUUAAAACUUAUUUAGAGAUUCAAUUGACUUAUUUUAUUUGAGUCUAUGUCCACCUUUCUCCUGAGGCAGAGAAUGCCUCUGCCACAGGUCUCAAAAUCCUCUGGUUAACACAAAAAUUACAGAAAAUGCAAAAUUCCAGCCUAGGAAUUAAACACUCUCAUGUGUAAAUUUGUGUAAUGUAGAAGUUUAAUAGCAAAGAAAGAGAAAUUGUUAUACCUAUCAAUCAAGCAGGAGCUUCUCCUUAAAAUCUUUCAACAUGAAUCACAUGGCUUAGCAGGGGUAAAAUAUUUUAGGAGCCUCCUCCUAGAGGAUCUCACUCAAUCUUACUCCCUUGUAGAACAGGCGAUAUCUUCACCAUGCGCACAAUGAAAUCAAUACUCAGAGAAGGCAGAUAAUUCUCCACGAAGCCAGAAAACUAAUAAAUGAACAGUUGAUUCCAUUAUUACCAUCCCUGCAAUACCACUCCUUAACACCUUUCUACUUAGACAUGAAAAUCUAUGGCUUU
Molecule: long non-coding RNA, 2901 nt
Filed under: Homo sapiens (human)
Lineage: Eukaryota; Metazoa; Chordata; Mammalia; Primates; Hominidae
Description: HSALNT0158757
Source: RNAcentral